This is a long non-coding RNA of Rhododendron vialii, 393 nucleotides long. RefSeq lists it as uncharacterized. Lineage: Eukaryota; Viridiplantae; Streptophyta; Magnoliopsida; Ericales; Ericaceae. The record is from RefSeq and is a predicted model, not a curated record. The transcript has 2 exons.
GGAGAUUAUUGUUUGGAUUGAGGGCAUUUGGGUUUUUGGCAACAUAGUUGGCUCUGGGUUUUGGGUUUGUUUUUGAAAAUUGUUUUUGGGUCUGAAAAAUCAAAAUCAAUCGAUUUUGGGAGAAAGUAUUGAUUGGUUUUAGUGGGGUUGUUUUUGGAAAAUGUUAUUGGGUUUUCUCAAAAUCAAGCGAUUGUGGGAGAAAGCAAUGAUGAGUGGUGUUUUCUGAUUGGGUUUUUUAAGAAGAAUGGGGGAGUGAAUCAUGCGACAUUGGCGGACUUGGUAGUGUAGGAACUCUGUACGCUGUAGAUGGCAGUGAGAGAGAGAGAGAGAGAGAGAGAGAGAGAGAGAGAGAGGAGUGAAACUUGGUACCGAAGGAAGAAACAGUAAAGUAAA